GUUUGAAGAAGUGGUCUAUGCUUGGAGUGCUGUUGUUAGGAAUUGAACAUCCCAUGAGACAGACAAUUAGAAGGAAUUGAUUUCAAUAUUCUUUAAGGUAAUAAUGAGAACUAGUGUUCUGAAGUGCUCUGAAAAAGACCCAUAUAUUUUGUAGACCAAAUGAUCAGAUAGAGAGAGUGUACUUCACUGGGAAAUCUUCAUUCUGGAUGAAUCUAUCUCUGCAAAACAGGGUCCACUGGAGAUGUUGCAAAAUUGCCUUUUGGCCAGCAGGUUACAUGGCAAAAAUUCUUGUGUCAAAGGUGCUCAUGACAAAAGUACUGAGAACUACAGAGCUUGGCAGAAAUCUACUUACUAUGGAAGGCCAGGCAUGGAGUCAGAUGGAAAGUGGGGUAGUCUAAUCAGAGGCUCAGUCAGACAAGUCUAAGCUAGUGAUCCAGGAAGUUAGAUUCUCGGCUGUGGUUUAAGCAAGCAUUUGGCAAGUUAUUUCCACACCAAAGAGGUAAGAGAAGCAUGGUGAUGGAGAAUACAUGUACAAUCCCUAGUUGGUUUGUUUGUUUUUUUUUUUUUUGAGAAAUUUAUGUGAAUAAUUCACACUGAAGAUAGGCCACUUCCAGCUAACUGAGACAUGGCU
Molecule: long non-coding RNA, 631 nt
Filed under: Capra hircus (goat)
Lineage: Eukaryota; Metazoa; Chordata; Mammalia; Artiodactyla; Bovidae
Description: lncRNA (ENSCHIG00000002676.1)
Source: RNAcentral